Long non-coding RNA from Phyllostomus discolor (pale spear-nosed bat), 313 nucleotides. RefSeq lists it as uncharacterized. The transcript has 3 exons. NCBI's taxonomy places the organism in Eukaryota, Metazoa, Chordata, Mammalia, Chiroptera, Phyllostomidae. The record is from RefSeq and is a predicted model, not a curated record.
UCCUGCAACCAGGCAGGGCAGUUCCCAACAGGACAGAACCCAAAGGCAGAGGCACCAGCACAGGCUGUUCCAUGGUCAAGCACCAGUCCUUUCCCAAAGCCUGGCAGGAGGUAACCUCAGGGCCAUUGCCGUGACAGGGAGGAUGAACCAGGACAGAGGCAGAAAGGAGAGCCUACAGUGGAGCCUGCUCUUUCCGGUCAGGUGGACGCUGGCUGCACCACGAGGCCUGACAUCUGCCCGCUGACCAGACUUCACCACCCAGAAUCACACGAACCUGAGGCUGACGCCCAGCCCUGCACAUACAAGCUGGGCG